GACGAACGCUGGCGGCGUGCUUAACACAUGCAAGUCGAACGGAAAGGCCCUGCUUUUGUGGGGUGCUCGAGUGGCGAACGGGUGAGUAACACGUGAGUAACCUGCCCUUGACUUUGGGAUAACUUCAGGAAACUGGGGCUAAUAUCGGAUAGGAGCUCCUGCUGCAUGGUGGGGGUUGGAAAGUUUCGGCGGUUGGGGAUGGACUCGCGGCUUAUCAGCUUGUUGGUGGGGUAGUGGCUUACCAAGGCUUUGACGGGUAGCCGGCCUGGGAGGGUGACCGGCCACAUUGGGACUGAGAUACGGCGCAGACUCCUACGGGAGGCAGCAGUGGGGAAUAUUGCACAAUGGGCGGAAGCCUGAUGCAGCAACGCCGCGUGCGGGAUGACGGCCUUCGGGUUGUAAACCGCUUUCGCCUGUGACGAAGCGUGAGUGACGGUAAUGGGUAAAGAAGCACCGGCUAACUACGUG
RNAcentral lists this ribosomal RNA (468 nucleotides) under uncultured bacterium. RNAcentral describes it as "partial 16S ribosomal RNA". It matches the Rfam family "Bacterial small subunit ribosomal RNA", at positions 28 to 507 of the family's 1533-position model. The record is from RNAcentral.